This 432-nucleotide ribosomal RNA is filed under the name Bythotrephes cederstroemi. Its description in RNAcentral is "partial small subunit ribosomal RNA". It matches the Rfam family "Eukaryotic small subunit ribosomal RNA", at positions 30 to 432 of the family's 1831-position model. Lineage: Eukaryota; Metazoa; Arthropoda; Branchiopoda; Diplostraca; Cercopagididae. The record is from RNAcentral.
GCUUGUCUCAAAGAUUAAGCCAUGCAUGUCUAAGUACAAGCCGCUAGUCGGCGAAACCGCGAAUGGCUCAAUAAAUCAGUUAUGGUUCCUUAGAUCUUUCCAUCCUACUUGGAUAACUGUGGUAAUUCUAGAGCUAAUACAUGCACUACAAGCCCCGACUCGCCGGCGUCAAAACCGGCCGUAGAAGGGGUGCUUUUAUUAGAUCAAAACCAAUCGGGCCCUUCGCGGGGCCCGUUCCAUUUGGUGACUCUGAAUAACUUUCGCUGAUCGCACGGCCUUCGCGCCGGCGACGCAUCUUUCAAAUGUCUGCCUUAUCAACUUUCGAUGGUAGGUUAUGCGCCUACCAUGGUUGCAACGGGUAACGGGGAAUCGGGGUUCGAUUCCGGAGAGGGAGCCUGAGAAACGGCUACCACAUCCAAGGAAGGCAGCAGG